CCGGGUCGAGGCUGGCGAGCAUCACCGAAGUCCAGAGCGA
RNAcentral lists this unclassified non-coding RNA (40 nucleotides) under Sorangium cellulosum So ce56. Its description in RNAcentral is "sce_s2m_74". The record is from RNAcentral. Lineage: Bacteria; Pseudomonadati; Myxococcota; Polyangiales; Polyangiaceae.